Non-coding RNA from Zootermopsis nevadensis, 2727 nucleotides. NCBI's taxonomy places the organism in Eukaryota, Metazoa, Arthropoda, Insecta, Blattodea, Termopsidae. The record is from RefSeq and is a predicted model, not a curated record.
CUGGGUCAAGAAGACCACUGUCACAGAAUCCUGAAACCAUGUACAUAACGAAUUCUUGUUUCACACUCUGGACUAGAACACUACGCAGAACCGUCAUUUUGCAGGUAUCAUAUAUUAAAGCCUCUUUUCAAGUGGCAGAGUCCUACUUGAGAAUUGUACAGUACACUCAGCUUGCCAAGAAAUUCGCUGUAUUUUAUAGACCUGAAUUUCAUUACUGUGUUUAAAAGUCCACCAAUAUCCUAGGUUCUGCUAAUUACAGAGCUGUUACCUGAUGCAUUCAAAAAAUUAUGAGGCCUCACACAGCAUUCUACCAUGCUUAAUGCUUACCGUUAUCAGUGAGGCUGUCCAGAGUCUGGUCAGGUGAUAACAACAGCUUUAUGAACACAUGGUCCUCCUAUCCCUUCCAGAAGUGCAGGCCACAAGAAAAAAAAGUUGACUUAAAAUAAAUUCCUUACCCUACUUACUUGCCUCAUAACAUUGAAUAUAAAAAGUACAGCAUAUCAUAAUAUUCAGAAUAUAAAAUCAGAUAGUGACAAAGGUUUGGAGAACAAAUCACAUACUUAAAGUGGAAUAACUUUUGUAAACUGAAUCCAUAUUUGAAAAGAUACAAAAUACAGUAUUACUUAAACCAGUGGUGAAAUAAGAUAAUGAGACAUGGACAUGGGGUGACUCAGACAAAUAAUAGAAAUAGCAAGAAUGAAAACUACAAGAUAAAAAGUUUCAGGUCCCCUCACCUCAAUGCUCUUGGCGAGGUCAAAUUUAUCCACUGUCUUCCUGAGGUAGAUUGCAACACUUCUUUCCAGUUCAGCUGCUACAGGCUCAGGGGGUGUGGCACUGCUAACUGUGGGUGGCUGAAUAUGCAGAAUUCGUCUCACAUGGUCUUUCUUCAGUGCCAGCAAUGACUGUGCUGACCUGAAUGCCAGCUGCUCAUAAAGGAGAAUGUAUAGUUCACAUUAGCGCUUUGUCACAGAACAUUUCAUUUCAUAUUAUAAAGACUAAAGAAGGUCAAUUCACAUCACAGCACUCACACACAGGACAGAGCAACAAGUGAUUUCUAAGCCAAAACCUCGUUUGUGACAAUGAUAUGCAUUCAUAAUUAGCGGGAUCUGAGGUUCUUAUGGCAGUGAGUAUGGAGAUGGCUGUCUUUUGGGUUGGAGCACCUUGUAGUCUAGUAGUCUAAAACAUUGGUAAACUUCUAUAAGGCCACAAUGUGCUACAACCCAGAAUUAAUUUAAAAGUACAAGGAGCAGUCAAAAUGUAAGGUUCAAAUGCAUCUCAAAAUGUUUCAUUAAAUCUUUUAUAUAGAUAAUACAGCACCAUUAUAUAUUACAUAAACAAUCAUUCUGUAUAGUCCCCAUCAAGCAGGGAGGUAAGAAAUGCAUACAAAAUUAUAGCUGGGAAAUACAACUGAAAGCGACAACCUGGAAGACCUGGACAUAGCAGGUAAAGUUAUCCCUGUGUUCAAUCAAGCACUAUUCCAUGAUAAUAUAUUAAAGAGGCAAACUCCACAUAUAGUCUUGGCCAGCUUCUAGCCCCAGUUGCAUUAACACCAAGGGAAAAUGCCCCCAGUAUAUAUUUGACAGAAGGUUAAGUGCUCCCAGAGGUGGUCUGAGUGUAGCAGCACAGAGAAAAAUCUUCCCCUCCCAGAAACUAAAUCCUAUUCAUGCAACCCUUGCUUCAGCAUUAUAGUGAACUACUCUGACUUGUAUACAUAUAAAGGAUAAUAUUCAAAUGUAUCUUGAAUAAGUUGAUGUUCUUCAGAACUCUGUAUUGAACCUUCAGGCUGCAUAAGAGGCAGGGAAUUUCUUGGCCAACUGAAUGAUCAGCUUCUCAAGGAGGACUUUGUUGCAUGGAGCUGGUUAAUUAGCCAUCAUGGUGCCACUUUUGUUUCCUAUCUUUUGUGAUUUCAGAUCUAUUUUGUGACUGCAAUUAUUUAACACACUACUCUACUAGGUCCAUGUUACAUAGGACUGAAAUAUUAACAAAUAAAAUGAAGCAGUUCAGACUGUAAAGUACUGUAUCAGUUAAAACUAUUAUUUAAGCUGAUCAUAAAAUUAGGGUCAAGAGGAAUGUAUCUGGACCUGACUACUGCUUGCCUUGCCUAAAUCAAGGAAUUAUAACAUAAACAACAGGACAGUAAACAGUGUUUCAUAAUUCAACACCAUGCAGGACAACACUGUCCAUCUAAUGCACUUUGCAAGUACCUAAUAGGAAAACCAGUGUACAGGUGUGUUGCCACAUUUUCAUACUUGUAGAGACAAAAUUUAAGCUUUGCCACACACAAUACAAUACAAUAAAAUGUAACAAAAUCAAAUGUCCACAAUAGCAUUUAACAUAUUUCUCUUCUGGAAAAAUGAAGUUCUGAGAACCUAUGAAGUCUUUUCUUAAAAUUCUUCACUCUGUAUGAUAAGGCUAGUAAAAAAUGUAAGUUAAUAAUUAUAUUUCAGUGAUGCAUUUCUGUUAAUAAUUUUCAAUAAGGUAUAAUCUAACUGUCAUAAGCAUACUCAUUUUAAACCUGUGUUCUUUCAUCAUGAUUCUGCAACAGAGAAACCUUGAUCUUUCCAAUGAAUUAUUUUAAAUUUGAACCACUUAUACUGUUCAGUGUAAAUAACAGAAUCAUGUAUUUAGAAAUUCAUAAAAAAUUUGAAUAGGAAUUUGUGUCAAAAUGAUAAGCCCUGGCAUAACAAACUAACUUCACACAAAUAAAAGAGAUAAUUUUUCAUGUCA